UUUGAAACUUUAUAUCAAGUUUAAUAAUUUGCCGAGAGAAAGGAGAGACAAGUAAAAUCCAAAGGGCCCAAGAGAUAACCCGGUCCCCAUAAGAGAAUUGCGACCCAUAUUAUAUUUUAACAUGCUCUUUAUUGGAGUUUCCAUAAAAAAAUGAUGGAUACUUUGGGAGAGUAAGGGCAUCGGUUAGAUCGGAGGAGAUCCACAUCGUCUAAGAUCGAACUAAAGAUGCUACAAUGGCAACCACAGCAGGGUUCUAGCGGAGUUGUGUAGAGGUAGUGUUGGCGAGAGUAGAAAGAGAUAUGAACAGUAACCAAGCUGGAAUUCUGACGAACGUUGUUGCUUCAUUCAUUUCUCUGUGAGCCCAAUCCAAUUCCUAGAGCUUCUAGACUACUGGGAAUAGAAAGUGCCACCAAAGCUGGGGUGAGAAAUGAAGAUAUAAGGGCACAACUUGAGCUGUGCGGUACUAAUUGACAUAUGACUUGCAACUUGAGAUUUUCCUUGAUAUAUUAUAGGAACACAAUGAUUGAAUACAAGGACGCACAUUUUUCUAAUGGAUUUUGUGGCAACAAUGUAGACGGCUGCUGAUUCUUCAUCAAUGUCAUCUCAAUUGGCAGCCCAGCCCGAUGUACACACACAUGCUGUACCCUCGAUUUCUAUGGACGAUGAUGAUGGCAUCUCAUACAAAGGUUAGUAUGAUGUUCAUGAAUUUUAUGAGAAGGCUAGAUAUACAUUGCUUGCCGGGAACCUAAUUGCUUAGGUCAAGUUGUGAAUUAACAUCAUGUUAGUUCCACUGCUGCUGGGAGGCACCAUAUGACAUGCAGGCCAAAUGAGGGAAGUGUUAGGGCUUGAUGUACAUUGUAGGCCAGCAAGCUGACAAGCGAAUUUCUUAAGCAGAAUGGUGACUUAAUGUUUUCUUCAGCAUUUUGCUCGUUCCUUGAUGAAUUUAAUGACUCCCAUUGGUUUACCUUUUUCUUCAUUAUAAUGAUAUAGAUGGAGAUUCUUGUGUUAUAACUUUGUUAGGACAUUGUCUUCACUUCAUUAUGUUUCCCUGCUCUUUUGUUUUUGGAACAUAAAUCUGAAGAUUUAAAGUUUUAGAAAUCUCACGGAUAUAAUUUUUUUUUUCAAUCUACUAAAUUUCAAAUCCAAGUCCUGAAGUUGAAAUUCAUGUUCUCAGUCUUUAUAUAUCUUUCUUUAUGAACUUAUAUUACUAUACCUGAUGUUUUGAUUACAUUUACGGAUCCUAAUGAAUUCAAUAUUCAAUUCUUCUUGGUUAGCCCGCCCAAUUUAUAAUUCUUAUCUUAUUUUGCAUUAUUUCAUCCUCUUAGUUAAAUUUUUAUCUUGUACUUUGUUGAUUUUCUUCUUUUAGUCCUUUUAACCCCAAUUUAUCCCUUCUUUCAUUGUCUUAUUUGGAACAAUAAGUAGUUACAGUGGGAGCCACACAACCCUCCAGCAAAAAUAAAAUAAAAUAAACAAAAUAAAAUAAAACUUCAAAAAUACAUGAGUACUACAUUAAUGAUCAUCACUAUCCUCCUACCUUAAAUUUCAUUUUCAUUUUAUCUUUGUUUCUAUGAAAUUUAUUUAAGCUCAGUCUCUUAUUGUUGCAUUGUUUUAAGGGUCAGACAAGCCUAAAAAAUGAGUCAGAAUACACUUUCAAUGUGUAAGGAUCCAUGCAAUUCAGGCUACAUGAAUCUGUGUGUGCUAGAGCGCUGUUAGCAGGGGUAUGUGUUUUGGGAUUUCGGUGAUUUUUGUUGGUGGUUUCAGCACUGUCUGCUGGUGCUCUUGUGGAUUUCGGCACAUGGUUGGAUGCUUGUUUGAGUGAACUUCUUCGUGAGGAGCAGCGUCUCGUAACUCAGGCUUCCAUGGAAUGUUGGGCUACUGUCAGUGCCCUUAUUACUGUGGCUUAUGCAGCACAAGGGAGGAAUAAGGGUCGAGACACGCGUGUUCUCCAAUGCUAUAGCUGUAAAGCCUUUGGUCAUAUUGCUUGGGAUUGUCCUCAAAAGUUUUGUAACUACUGCAAGAAAUAGGGACAUAUCAUCUCCGCUCGUCCCAUUCGCCCUGAAAGGAAGCAAGGAUCAAGUGUCUGGGAAGAUGAUCGCGAAGGGGCCUAAAGUGGGAUGACUCUUUCCUCUGCACCUUUCUCCUUCCACAAUUAUUCCUUGUUAUCCUCUACUUUCUUUCGCAUGUAAUGUUGCAAAUCCUGGAAAUAAGAUGUGGCAUAGAUGUCUUGGCCACCCAAACUCAGAUGUACUUUGUACUUUUUUAAUUCUGGUUUGUUGGGAAAUACAACGUGUUCUUCUCUUAAUCUUUCCUUUGAUUGUACAAUAUGCAAACUUGGAAAAAGUAAAGUUCUACCUUUUCCUCAACAUGCAUCUCAUGCCUAACAAUGUUUUGAUAUUAUUCAUA
RNA transcript from Malania oleifera, 2403 nucleotides. RefSeq lists it as uncharacterized. The record is from RefSeq and is a predicted model, not a curated record. The transcript has 7 exons. Lineage: Eukaryota; Viridiplantae; Streptophyta; Magnoliopsida; Santalales; Ximeniaceae.